RNAcentral lists this ribosomal RNA (1986 nucleotides) under Salmonella enterica subsp. enterica serovar Ajiobo. RNAcentral describes it as "partial 23S ribosomal RNA". It matches the Rfam family "Bacterial large subunit ribosomal RNA", at positions 131 to 2141 of the family's 2925-position model. The record is from RNAcentral. Lineage: Bacteria; Pseudomonadati; Pseudomonadota; Gammaproteobacteria; Enterobacterales; Enterobacteriaceae.
GUGUGAUUCGUCACACUAUCAUUAACUGAAUCCAUAGGUUAAUGAGGCGAACCGGGGGAACUGAAACAUCUAAGUACCCCGAGGAAAAGAAAUCAACCGAGAUUCCCCCAGUAGCGGCGAGCGAACGGGGAGGAGCCCAGAGCCUGAAUCAGCAUGUGUGUUAGUGGAAGCGUCUGGAAAGGCGCGCGAUACAGGGUGACAGCCCCGUACACAAAAGCGCAUGUGCUGUGAGCUCGAUGAGUAGGGCGGGACACGUGGUAUCCUGUCUGAAUAUGGGGGGACCAUCCUCCAAGGCUAAAUACUCCUGACUGACCGAUAGUGAACCAGUACCGUGAGGGAAAGGCGAAAAGAACCCCGGCGAGGGGAGUGAAAAAGAACCUGAAACCGUGUACGUACAAGCAGUGGGAGCACCCUUUGGGGUGUGACUGCGUACCUUUUGUAUAAUGGGUCAGCGACUUAUAUUCUGUAGCAAGGUUAACCGUAUAGGGGAGCCGCAGGGAAACCGAGUCUUAAUUGGGCGUUAAGUUGCAGGGUAUAGACCCGAAACCCGGUGAUCUAGCCAUGGGCAGGUUGAAGGUUGGGUAACACUAACUGGAGGACCGAACCGACUAAUGUUGAAAAAUUAGCGGAUGACCUGUGGCUGGGGGUGAAAGGCCAAUCAAACCGGGAGAUAGCUGGUUCUCCCCGAAAGCUAUUUAGGUAGCGCCUCGUGAAUUCAUCUCCGGGGGUAGAGCACUGUUUCGGCUAGGGGGCCAUCCCGGCUUACCAACCCGAUGCAAACUGCGAAUACCGGAGAAUGUUAUCACGGGAGACACACGGCGGGUGCUAACGUCCGUCGUGAAGAGGGAAACAACCCAGACCGCCAGCUAAGGUCCCAAAGUCAUGGUUAAGUGGGAAACGAUGUGGGAAGGCCCAGACAGCCAGGAUGUUGGCUUAGAAGCAGCCAUCAUUUAAAGAAAGCGUAAUAGCUCACUGGUCGAGUCGGCCUGCGCGGAAGAUGUAACGGGGCUAAACCAUGCACCGAAGCUGCGGCAGCGAUGCUUAUGCGUUGUUGGGUAGGGGAGCGUUCUGUAAGCCUGCGAAGGUGGCCUGUGAGGGUUGCUGGAGGUAUCAGAAGUGCGAAUGCUGACAUAAGUAACGAUAAAGCGGGUGAAAAGCCCGCUCGCCGGAAGACCAAGGGUUCCUGUCCAACGUUAAUCGGGGCAGGGUGAGUCGACCCCUAAGGCGAGGCCGAAAGGCGUAGUCGAUGGGAAACGGGUUAAUAUUCCCGUACUUGGUGUUACUGCGAAGGGGGGACGGAGAAGGCUAUGUUGGCCGGGCGACGGUUGUCCCGGUUUAAGCGUGUAGGUGUGUGUUCCAGGUAAAUCCGGUUCACUUUAACACUGAGGCGUGACGACGAGGCACUACGGUGCUGAAGCAACAAAUGCCCUGCUUCCAGGAAAAGCCUCUAAGCAUCAGGUAACAUCAAAUCGUACCCCAAACCGACACAGGUGGUCAGGUAGAGAAUACCAAGGCGCUUGAGAGAACUCGGGUGAAGGAACUAGGCAAAAUGGUGCCGUAACUUCGGGAGAAGGCACGCUGACACGUAGGUGAAGUGAUUUACUCAUGGAGCUGAAGUCAGUCGAAGAUACCAGCUGGCUGCAACUGUUUAUUAAAAACACAGCACUGUGCAAACACGAAAGUGGACGUAUACGGUGUGACGCCUGCCCGGUGCCGGAAGGUUAAUUGAUGGGGUCAGCGCAAGCGAAGCUCCUGAUCGAAGCCCCGGUAAACGGCGGCCGUAACUAUAACGGUCCUAAGGUAGCGAAAUUCCUUGUCGGGUAAGUUCCGACCUGCACGAAUGGCGUAAUGAUGGCCAGGCUGUCUCCACCCGAGACUCAGUGAAAUUGAACUCGCUGUGAAGAUGCAGUGUACCCGCGGCAAGACGGAAAGACCCCGUGAACCUUUACUAUAGCUUGACACUGAACAUUGAGCCUUGAUGUGUAG